GGAGGUAAAAGUCGUAACAAGGUUUCCGUAGGUGAACCUGCGGAAGGAUCAUUAUCAUGUAAUUCAGUCCCCUUGGCUGUGUUAUAUAUAUACCCACUCUGUGUACCUUCUCCUGUUGCUUCCGCUGGGUGUGUAAUUCGCCCGGCGGAAGGGUAAAAAUAACCUCUGAGUAUUGAUGAAAUCUCUGUCUGAACCGAAUAGAAAGAAAAAUGUUAAAACUUUCAGCAACGGAUCUCUUGGCUCUC
RNAcentral lists this unclassified non-coding RNA (245 nucleotides) under plant metagenome. Its description in RNAcentral is "partial contains small subunit ribosomal RNA, internal transcribed spacer 1, and 5.8S ribosomal RNA". The stretch from base 1 to 54 matches the Rfam family "Eukaryotic small subunit ribosomal RNA", at positions 1778 to 1831 of the family's 1831-position model. The record is from RNAcentral.